CCUACGGGAGGCAGCAGUGGGGAAUAUUGGACAAUGGGGGGAACCCUGAUCCAGCCAUGCCGCGUGUGUGAAGAAGGCCCUCGGGUUGUAAAGCACUUUCAGUGAGGAAGAACGCCUGGUGGUUAAUACCCAUCAGGAAAGACAUCACUCACAGAAGAAGCACCGGCUAACUCCGUGCCAGCAGCCGCGGUAAUACGGAGGGUGUGAGCGUUAAUCGGAAUUACUGGGCGUAAAGCGCGCGUAGGUGGCUUGAUAAGCCGGUUGUGAAAGCCCCGGGCUCAACCUGGGAACGGCAUCCGGAACUGUCCAGCUAGCGUGCAGGAGAGGAAGGUAGAAUUCCCGGUGUAGCGGUUAAAUGCGUAGAGAUCGGGAGGAAUACCAGUGGCGAAGGCGGCCUUCUGGACUGACACUGACACUGAGGUGCGAAAGCGUGGGUAGCAAACAGGAUUAGAUACCCGUGUAGUC
RNAcentral lists this ribosomal RNA (465 nucleotides) under Vreelandella stevensii. RNAcentral describes it as "partial 16S ribosomal RNA". It matches the Rfam family "Bacterial small subunit ribosomal RNA", at positions 338 to 795 of the family's 1533-position model. Lineage: Bacteria; Pseudomonadati; Pseudomonadota; Gammaproteobacteria; Oceanospirillales; Halomonadaceae. The record is from RNAcentral.